RNAcentral lists this ribosomal RNA (493 nucleotides) under uncultured bacterium. RNAcentral describes it as "partial 16S ribosomal RNA". It matches the Rfam family "Bacterial small subunit ribosomal RNA", at positions 29 to 523 of the family's 1533-position model. The record is from RNAcentral.
AUUGAACGCUGGCGGCAUGCUUUACACAUGCAAGUCGAACGGUAACAGGUUAAGCUGACGAGUGGCGAACGGGUGAGUAAUGCAUCGGAACGUGCCCGGUCGUGGGGGAUAACGCAGCGAAAGCUGCGCUAAUACCGCAUACGAUCUGAGGAUGAAAGCGGGGGACCGUAAGGCCUCGCGCGAUCGGAGCGGCCGAUGUCAGAUUAGGUAGUUGGUGGGGUAAAGGCUCACCAAGCCGACGAUCUGUAGCUGGUCUGAGAGGACGACCAGCCACACUGGGAGUGAGACACGGCCCGGACGCCUACGGGAGGCAGCAGUGGGGAAUUUUGGACAAUGGGCGCAAGCCUGAUCCAGCAAUGCCGCGUGCAGGAAGAAGGCCUUCGGGUUGUAAACUGCUUUUGUACGGAGCGAAAAGGCUCUCUCUAAUACAGGGGGCUCAUGACGGUACCGUAAGAAUAAGCACCGGCUAACUACGUGCCAGCCGCCGCCGUAA